UGAAACUGAAAAUUAAAGUCGCCAACGGCCUUUCUCCGUCUCAAAACUCAAACAAAAAUAGAAUAAUUCAAAACAAACUCCAUGGGAAUUAGUGACUUUUUUUUUCCAAAGUUAAGAACUGACUCUACUUCGCGAUGCAGAAGACUUAAUAUUUUAUUCGCAUGCACGAUCGCGUCAGUAAAAUUAAACGAUAAAAGGCUGCGAUUUUUAAAAAUGUUAUUUUAUGUGAAAAAUAUAUUUUUAACGUAUAAAAAGGUUGGUUGAAGCGUUCUGGUUCAAUCGGUAACCAUGCAGAUUAACAGUAUGGUCGCAGAGUCCGCAAGGCUAAGAAAUAGACUAUUCAACAAAGUACAUUGAAGGAGUGCACCAUCGAACUGGCUGUUCAUCAUAUAAUCUAUCUCUAUUGGUCAGGAGCUUGGAGAGACAGCAGGAGCAUCAAGAGAACUGAACAUGGAGAAAACAGCUGAAGACAGUAGGAGCAGAGAGAAAACAGAUCAUGAAAAAAACACUAGAGGAGAAUGGGGAGAGCAGGAGCAAGUGGGGAGCAGAUCACAUUGUGAUCAAUGUGCACUUGCCUACCUUUGACCAGAGUUAUUUGGGCAGUCACUCUUUUGUACAGCUGGCUUGCAUUGCAAACCCCCUUGAAAUGCUUAGUUUUACCCCAACUCAGUUUGAGAAAUGUUGGUCUAAAUUGUCAAGCUUUAGAUGUUGUAAUUUAUAACCAUUGCUUGUUAGCUUAGAUGGUGUGAUUUUUCUUUUACAUAAAAAUAUUUUGAUUCCGAAACACAGAGAUGUUUCUCAGCGUUGUUUUACAGACCUCUAGCUAGAGAUAGAUGCAGGACUGUUUCAAACAAUACUCUGAAUCUGUUGCAGUCUCGAUCCAUUGUGUGGAAAUUUAGACUGGUUCAUGCUAAAGACUAAUGACACAAAAAUGUACAUAAACACAUGUAGAUAAACACAAGAGACGGUGAGUCAAAGUGAUGGAGAAUGUAAUUUUUAAAUCUGUCUAGAUGAUCUAAGAUGUGCUGAUUGACUCCUUCAUCUGAAACUACAUGCAAACUUGAGAUUUCACACACAGAGACACUCGCAACACAUAUACACUGACACAUCUUCAGACACUUGCACACAUGCACUUAGACAUUCUCUCCUCACUUCCUCACACAUGCACCUAUCUAUUCCCUGCUAUCUGUGGACAGCUAAAAACAGCUGACAAGCUGCAACUAAUGUUUCCAGAUGCCCAUCCUCAGAUAACAUAAACUAUUAGAGUUCAAUGGCCAUUAUUUUCCAAU
This is a long non-coding RNA of Chiloscyllium plagiosum (whitespotted bambooshark), 1289 nucleotides long. RefSeq lists it as uncharacterized. Lineage: Eukaryota; Metazoa; Chordata; Chondrichthyes; Orectolobiformes; Hemiscylliidae. The record is from RefSeq and is a predicted model, not a curated record.